CAGUCGCCACGGUAAUACAGAGGGUGCGAGCGUUAAUCGGAUUUACUGGGCGUAAAGCGUGCGUAGGCGGCUUUUUAAGUCGGAUGUGAAAGCCCUGGGCUCAACCUGGGAAUUGCAGUGGAUACUGGGUCACUAGAGUGUGGUAGAGGAUAGUGGAAUUUCCGGUGUAGCAGUGAAAUGCGUAGAGAUCGGAAGGAACAUCUGUGGCGAAGGCGACUAUCUGGGCCAACACUGACACUGAGGCACGAAAGCGUAGGGAGCAAACAGGAUUAGAUACCCCUGUAGUCCCUGUCUCUUAUAA
This 301-nucleotide ribosomal RNA is filed under the name uncultured bacterium. Its description in RNAcentral is "partial 16S ribosomal RNA". It matches the Rfam family "Bacterial small subunit ribosomal RNA", at positions 509 to 809 of the family's 1533-position model. The record is from RNAcentral.